Molecule: long non-coding RNA, 1173 nt
Organism: Folsomia candida
Lineage: Eukaryota; Metazoa; Arthropoda; Collembola; Entomobryomorpha; Isotomidae
Exons: 3
Source: RefSeq, a predicted model, not a curated record
AUAGUCAAAAAUAAGGAGGAGAUUACACUAAAAAAUCAAUUUGUCUGCAAGGAUAACGCCAUAAAAUCUGGUUGUGAACAUCAUUACGCCGAGUAUAAGAACAAGACGGAUUUUUGUGUGGGUGCCAUACCAAAUUGGAUAUAUAAAUAGCAACCUAGUGAAGUAUAUUGUACGAGAGAAACAGAGGAUAUACAUACAAAAUGCACAGAAAUUUCGCAAUUUUCUUGGCCAUUUUCUUAAUCGUGGCUUUCGUCGCGGUUUCUGUGUCUGCCGAAUCAGCGAUCUGCACCUUGAACGCGGCUGCUUGUGCUGCCGGAUGCAAAACUGGUGGAAUGGGGGGUGGAGUUUGCAAAUCUGAAAACGGCUGUAAUCGAUGCGUUUGUUCAUAAAUUAUUUUGUGAGAAUUAUUAAAAUACGGGUAACGGUUUGUUUUCGUCUCGGAAUUGAAUAAUUUAUGCAAAUUUGGUCCAACAAAGUUCUAUAAUAUUGAAUUAAUGGAAAAUUUAAUAAAAUGCUAUUGAAUUAAGAAAUUGCUGUCGUGUUGAAUUAUUAAUUCAAGCCGUAGGUGUGGAUUUUGAUGGAUUAUAAUUUUGGGAGAGUGAAAAGGGAGGAAGUGAAGAGUGAGAAAGUGAGACGGAUGAUGAAAGGUGUGGAGAAAGCAAAGUGAAAGGUGGAGGAUGGAUGUGGCAUGGGAUGUGCGGGUAUAUUUUGCAGCCUGGCAGCAGAAGGGGCAGCAGGUGGCUUGGUGUGCCUCCGGUGAAUUAAUAGCCGAAUUAAUUUUGGGGAAUAUUGGACAAGAGAGAAAAGUCAGAGCGGAAAUGCGUUGAAAAGUUGGUGGCUGGAUUAGUAAUUUCGUAUUAGCAGACAAGAGCACAAAUUCCGAAUUUCAGGCAAAAGUUUGGCUAAAUUUUUCCAGCGACACGUCUGCCAUCUCGUACUGGAGAAUGAAAUGAAUUCGAAACUUGGAGAAAGCAACAAGUGGUUGGGAAGAGACGGAGGAGAAAUUCGACUUUCAUACGAUUGUGAAAGCAUAUUUUAAUAAAUAAUUUAUGUAAUGUUGCUUCAUCCUCAGAUUUGUAAUUAUUAGUGCUCAAUUGUUUCACAAUUUGGUAUGUCAGUCUAAUAUUAACUAGAUACAUAAUAAGAAUAUAUUGACUGUGGAGUAUGCAUAAA